Molecule: ribosomal RNA, 493 nt
Filed under: uncultured bacterium
Lineage: Bacteria
Description: partial 16S ribosomal RNA
Rfam family: Bacterial small subunit ribosomal RNA
Source: RNAcentral
AUUGAACGCUGGCGGCAUGCUUUACACAUGCAAGUCGAACGGUAACAGGUUAAGCUGACGAGUGGCGAACGGGUGAGUAAUGCGUCGGAACGUGCCCGAUCGUGGGGGAUAACACCUCGAAAGAAGUACUAAUACCGCAUACGAUCUGAGGAUGAAAGCGGGGGACCGUAAGGCCUCGCGCGAUCGGAGCGGCCGAUGUCAGAUUAGGUAGUUGGUGGGGUAAAGGCUCACCAAGCCGAGGAUCUGUAGCUGGUCUGAGAGGACGACGAGCCAGACUGGGACUGGGACACGGGCCAGACACCUACGGGAGGCAGCAGUGGGGAAUUUUGGACAAUGGGCGCAAGCCUGAUCCAGCAAUGCCGCGUGCAGGAAGAAGGCCUUCGGGUUGUAAACUGCUUUUGUACGGAGCGAAAAGGCUCCCUCUAAUACAGGGGGCUCAUGACGGUACCAUAAGAAUAAGCACCGGCUACCUACGUGCCAGCCGCCGCCGCAG